RNAcentral lists this ribosomal RNA (463 nucleotides) under uncultured Anoxybacillus sp. Its description in RNAcentral is "bacterial SSU rRNA". It matches the Rfam family "Bacterial small subunit ribosomal RNA", at positions 923 to 1382 of the family's 1533-position model. Lineage: Bacteria; Bacillati; Bacillota; Bacilli; Caryophanales; Anoxybacillaceae. The record is from RNAcentral.
GCACAAGCGGUGAGCAUGUGGUUAAUUCGAAGCAACGCGAAGAACCUUACCAGGUCUUGACCAUCCCCUGACAACCCGAGAGAGUCGGGCGGUUCCCCCUUCGGGGGGACAGGGUGACAGGUGGUGCAUGGUUGUCGUCAGCUCGUGUCGUGAGAUGUUGGGUUAAGUCCCGCAACGAGCGCAACCCUCGACCUUAGUUGCCAGCAUUCAGUUGGGCACUCUAAGGUGACUGCCGGCUAAAAGUCGGAGGAAGGUGGGGAUGACGUCAAAUCAUCAUGCCCCUUAUGACCUGGGCUACACACGUGCUACAAUGGGCGGUACAAAGGGUCGCGAACCCGCGAGGGGGAGCCAAUCCCAAAAAGCCGCUCUCAGUUCGGAUUGCAGGCUGCAACUCGCCUGCAUGAAGCCGGAAUCGCUAGUAAUCGCGGAUCAGCAUGCCGCGGUGAAUACGUUCCCGGGCCUU